This 324-nucleotide long non-coding RNA is filed under the name Gallus gallus (chicken). The record is from RNAcentral. Lineage: Eukaryota; Metazoa; Chordata; Aves; Galliformes; Phasianidae.
UCCAUCAGUGUGAUCAGUUCUGCUUCUGUCAGGUAGUCAGGAGGACUGGUUUGCAUUUCCAGCAAUUUUAUUUCCCCAACUGGAAAGAGAUCUCCUUUCUCACAGGAGGGAAGGCUCUCUUCUAAUGCGAUGCUGUGCCAAGGCAUAAUUUCUGUGAACCCUGGUGAAGUUACCACUUUUCCAACACAGUUAAAACGUUCAGGGCCAAUACUGAAAGAAAUGUUGGUUUGUAGGUACUUGCAGUCAGCGCUCACAGUGGCAAUGAAAUGCCGAGUUAUGUACUCAUACAGUCGCCAGCUAUCUCCACCCAAUUCUACUUCUGUU